GACGAACGCUGGCGGCGUGCCUAAUACAUGCAAGUCGAACGCAGUGGGGACGGGUGAGUAACACGUGGGUAACCUCCCAUCAGAGGGGAUAACACUUGGAAACAGGUGCUAAACCGAUACUGAUGGAUGAACCCGCGGUGCAUUAGCUAGUUGGUGAGGUAACGGCUCACCAAGGCCACGAUGCAUAGCCGACCUGAGAGGGGGAUCGGCCACACUGGGACUGAGACACGGCCCAGACCCCUACGGUAGGCAGCAGUAGGGAAUCGUCGGCAAUGGGCUAAAGGCCGACCGAGCAACGCCGCGGGGUUGAAGAAGGUUCUCGGAUCGUAAAACUCUGCUGUUAGUGAAGCGGUAUCUAACCAGAAAGCCACGGCUAACCACGCGACAGCAGCCGCGGUAAUAC
This 403-nucleotide ribosomal RNA is filed under the name uncultured bacterium. Its description in RNAcentral is "partial 16S ribosomal RNA". It matches the Rfam family "Bacterial small subunit ribosomal RNA", at positions 28 to 526 of the family's 1533-position model. The record is from RNAcentral.